RNAcentral lists this ribosomal RNA (261 nucleotides) under uncultured archaeon. Its description in RNAcentral is "partial 16S ribosomal RNA". It matches the Rfam family "Archaeal small subunit ribosomal RNA", at positions 748 to 1009 of the family's 1478-position model. The record is from RNAcentral.
UAGCCGUAAACGAUACUCGCUAGGUGUCGGCCACGGUACGACCGUUGUCGGUGCCGUAGGGAAGCCGUGAAGCGAGCCACCUGGGAAGUAUGGCCGCAAGGCUGAAACUUAAAGGAAUUGGCGGGGGAGCACAACAACGGGUGGAGCUUGCGGUUUAAUUGGAUUCAACGCCGGAAAUCUUACCGGGACCGACAGUAACAUGAAGGCCAAGCUGAAGACUUUGCCGGAUUAGCUGAGAGGAGGUGCAUGGCGUAGUCGUGU